UACUAGGACUCGUGUAAAUCUGAAGCUAACUGUAGAUAAAGGUAACUUACUGCUUUAAAAAAUAGAGUCAGAAACUCCAAAAUGACAGCUUUUUUUUUGAGAAAUACAUUCUGAAUUUCAAACAAGCCAUUCAGAGGGAAAACACAUAAUGCUGGGAAGCCUUUAAAGGGCUAGGACUUCAGACCAGUUUACGAAGGUUUAAUUAAAUAAACGGAUGUUCUUUUUCUUGUCCUUCUGCCCAUCUGGAUUAGUUUGCCCAAAACAUCAGGUUUUGAUUGUGAUCAGGCUGACCUAUUUUUUAUCUUUAGCCACUGGCUAAAUAAACUGGGAACGUUAACAAGAGAAGUUCCUGAACACAGGCAAGAAAAGGGUUUCAUUUCUUUUGAGUCUGCUCUAGUACAAAAUUCUGAUGUAACACCUCAAAAUUCUGAGAAAUUAAAUAUUCUGUGAAGUGUCUGAGAAGGAUCUUUGUUGUAUGGAAUCAUUGUUCACACUGAUUUACUCACAUUGCUUUAGAAGGCCCUCCUGAGUAAAAAGGCCUUUUGCAGUCAUUUUUUUCCUUUCUGACUUGCUUUCUGGGAGUGAAAUGAAAGUAAAUAUUUCCUUCCCACAGACUUGAUAAAGACACUGUAGAUAUCUUUCAUAGGGGUCCCACUGAUGGCUCUUUACAGGUUCUUUUUGUGCAUCACUAUGCUCUGAUCAUUUUCUUCUCCGAUGGGUAGAAAGAGUCACUGGCUUUCCUCCUAAAAUUAAUCCUUUUUUUCUAGGAAAGCUCCUCAAAUGUUACUUUAUUAAUAUUGUUUCUUUGCAAACAGGGAUUUUAAAUGGAGGACAUAAAACACUACCUCCACACACACAGGUAUUUCUCCAGUUUAACUUUCUGUGUUGCAGACUAGGCCGUGGCCUGGAAAAGGCAGUGAGUUGGUCAGCCAGUGUAAAUGACCAAACCAGACCUGCACUGGUCCCAUUCGGACACCCUGAGAACUUAGUGUGUGUAAACAUUUCUGUCUGUGUUCUGUGAGAUCAUCAUAUAGAAUCUGUCUGUUUCUAAUAGCAGAGAGCCAUGAGGAAAUAUUUCAUAAGGAAGAUUUUGAAAUACAUUUUUUUCAAACCAGUCUCCUACAUGAGAUGAAGUGACCCUCAUUUGGAGUAAGAGGCAUGCAAGAAAUAUUCUCACACUUGUUCUCCCUGUGUUUCUGUUUCUCGUCUUUCUAGUGGGCUGUUCAUUGCAGUGAUUGUGAGCCUGCUCUUCCUUGUGUUAUUGAGGUUCAUAGCUGGGGUUCUUUUCUGGAUUUUCAUCUUUGUCAUGAUUGGAAUUAUUGGUUAUGGCAGCUGGCAUUGUUACUGGGAGUAUGACCAUCUUAAAGGAAUACCUGGAUCUGA
This is a long non-coding RNA of Neopsephotus bourkii (Bourke's parrot), 1383 nucleotides long. RefSeq lists it as uncharacterized. The transcript is spliced from 2 exons. The record is from RefSeq and is a predicted model, not a curated record. NCBI's taxonomy places the organism in Eukaryota, Metazoa, Chordata, Aves, Psittaciformes, Psittacidae.